This 444-nucleotide unclassified non-coding RNA is filed under the name uncultured Russula. RNAcentral's name for it is "sequence contains ITS2". The stretch from base 1 to 154 matches the Rfam family "5.8S ribosomal RNA". The record is from RNAcentral. Lineage: Eukaryota; Fungi; Basidiomycota; Agaricomycetes; Russulales; Russulaceae.
AACUUUUGACAACGGAUCACUUGGCUCUCGCAUCAAUGAAGAACGCAGCGAAAUGCGAUACGUAAUGUGAAUUGCAGAAUUCAGUGAAUCAUCGAAUCUUUGAACGCACCUUGCGCCCCUUGGCAUUCCGAGGGGCACACCCGUUUGAGUGUCGUGAAAUUCUCAAACCUUCUUGGUUUCUUGAUCAAGAUGGCUUUGGACUUUGGAGGCAUUUUGCUGGCUUUGCGAAAAGCCAGCUCCUCUUAAAUACAUUAGUGGGAUCCCCUUUGCCGAUCCCCAGGCGUGAUAAGAUAUUUCUAUGUCUUGGGAUUUGCUCUGUUCCUUGGGAACCCGCUUCCAACCGUCUCAUGGGAGACAUCGUUCGAGUUUGCUCGACCCACGAACCUUGACCUCAAAUCGGGUGAGACUACCCGCUGAACUUAAGCAUAUCAAUAAGCGGAGGCU